ACCAUCAGUUAUCAAACAUUAGUCAGAGAGUCACAGGAAGCACAAUGGAUGUGGAUGAAAUGAUCUACACGUUUUUCGAGGUGCUCAUUGCUGUUAGCUGCUGUCUUGGUAAUAUGUUGGUGAUUUUGGCGCUGUGGACCAGUAAAAGCAUUCAGGAGCCCACCUUCAGUCUUAUCGUCAGUCUGGCUGUGGCUGACUUUCUGGUCGGCUGCGUUGCCAUACCGAUGGCUGUGGUGGUGGUCGGACGAGUGCCCACUUCAUUUCAUGGCUGUGUCUUCAUCAGCUGUGUGGUCAUCCUGUUGACUCUGGUCUCAGUUUUGUCCCUCAUGGCUAUUUCUGUGGACCGCUUCCUCCGGGUGCAUAUCCCUCUCUGGUACAAAAGGACUGUGACGCAGAGACAUUCUUGCCUUGUGGUCGCAGCAUGUUGGCUUGUUGCAAUACCACUGAGUUUUGCUCCAAUGCUUGGAUGGUACAACCAUGGCACCCUGUCUAAGUCAGUAAACUCUACCAUUAUCUGCAAGUUUAUUGCUGUCAUGCCCAUGUCAUACCUGGUUUACUUCAACUUUGUUCUCUGCACCCUGAUACCUCUGUUGGUGAUGACCACUCUUUACGGCUACAUCUUCUGCACCAUCCGAGGAAACCUUCGAAAUAAACCAGGCAACGGGGCCCAGAAACAGUGUCAGAAGUAUCUGAAGAAAGAGAAACAGCUGGCAGGAUCUCUGUCCCUGGUCUUGGCUCUGUUUGCCUUGUCCUGGCUCCCUAUCCACAUUAUAAACUGCAUUACUUACUUCCGUGGGAAGAACGAUAUACCAGUUGUAUAUAUCUAUGUUGGCAUCCUGCUUUCUCAUGCUAACUCGGCUGUAAACCCAGUUGUGUAUGCGUUCAAAAUAGAAAAGAUCAAGACAGCGUACCUAAAGCUCUGGAGACAGUAUAUCUCAUGUGGAGAAAUAAAUCAAGGAUCUCAGACAAGCCAGACAACAGACAAUACUCCCAGUAGUAACAGUGAUGCCAAUAAUGAGUAAAGGAAAAUUUCCUUGUUUGUCUUCGCUUCUUUCGUUAGUAUUUGGGAUAAUGGCAUAAGAUGAUAGCAUAAGAUGUAUUGAUACGGUAAACACAUCUAGCCUCAGAAAGAUAUGUUAUGUUCAGGAUUGUGUGUGUGUGAGUGGGAGUGUAGCGAAAACAGUCUUGCAGAGAAGAAGGGCAACUUCCACUUGUCUAAGAGCUUUAUUUUAGUUUCACAUCAGUGUUAUUUUUCUGUUUCCAUCAAGUUUCAGUUCUUCAUGUGUAUUUCAACAGAAAGCGCUGUUUGAUGGUAAAAACCUUCACAAUCUUCGAAAGAGAAUACAACUUUAAAAACCAGGAAGAAGAAAAAACACCAGACACAUUUCAAAAGAUUCAGUGUAACAGAACAAUACCACAAAAGGAACUAAUCUCUGACACAAACCUUUCACAUGUCAGGAAGGAGAAAUGUAUUGUAAAGCUGUUGUAUUGGAUUUUAUUAUGUAACAUAUAUGUUCACAUUUUUCUGUUCAAUGGGUUCUAUAUAUAGAUAUAUAUAUAUAUAUUUUUUUCCUACUGGUUCACAACCAAACCCACGUUCUUGGAGAAAUUAAUUUAGGUCUGCUAAAUGUAAAAAUAAAUCAAGAUCAGUCAGUUAUUUAAAUGCUAUUAUCGGUAAUGAGUCACAACAAGAUAUAGUAUUUGUGUAGCCAGGAGAGAUUUUAAUGAAUAGACACCAAACCGUCAGCUUCUCACAAAUAAUGGCACUGACACCUGAUUUCAUUGGUACAUCAAUUUAAUUCAAAGAUGAAUAAACGUUUUCUUCCGUGAGCAGUAUUUAUUUUAUUAGCCUGUCAUUUGUUUUGUGAUUUAUGUUUGUCUUACUUUGUUAUUUCUGAAAUUCAUCUGAAGUAGGAGUUGUUAUUAGAUCUGAAAUCAAAUGUUUGUUUUUUUAAGUUCCUUAUUUCCUCAUCAAGAAAUCCAAUGUAUAUACAGCUACAUUAUUCUGUACCUACAGCAGCUUUUGUAAUUAGUACAAAGUCAAUUACAAUUGUCUGUAAUGUUCAUGAAUAAAGUCUAUUAGUGAGCAUUUACUUUUCUGUCUUCUGUAAAUUGGUUUUGCAUAUUUACGAGCCACAAUUUUUAGCUAGUGUACUUUUACAUUUUUAAAGUCCAGAGGUUCUCAAACUUUUCAGGGCUCACUACAAGUUGUACUCUUACUAUGCCAUUGAAAGUAGUUUUAUCCUAAAACUUAUUGAUGUAAUAUGUACAAUUGUGUCAGAGUUUCUAUUGGCCCAAAAUAUAAUACCAAUAGAAUUUAUACCAAACUAUUUUACAAACCCCCAGGUUCCACUGAACACUUUUUGAGAAUCACUCCUUUAGUCUACAUUAAACAGGGGCACUUUCAAAUCAGGUUUUCAACUUGUAAUACAGCAUGCAAAUUAAAAAAAACACUUCCUU
Trematomus bernacchii (emerald rockcod) is the source of this 2460-nucleotide RNA transcript. It is a transcript of the gene named adenosine receptor A1-like, with no coding region annotated. The record is from RefSeq and is a predicted model, not a curated record. The transcript has 3 exons. NCBI's taxonomy places the organism in Eukaryota, Metazoa, Chordata, Actinopteri, Perciformes, Nototheniidae.